UUAAAUUGAAGAGUUUGAUCAUGGCUCAGAUUGAACGCUGGCGGCAGGCUUAACACAUGCAAGUCGAACGGUAACAUGAGUGCUUGCACUUGAUGACGAGUGGCGGACGGGUGAGUAAGGUAUGGGGAUCUGCCGAAUGGAGGGGGACAACAGUUGGAAACGACUGCUAAUACCGCAUAAAGUUGAGAGACCAAAGCAUGGGACCUUAGGGCCAUGCGCCAUUUGAUGAACCCAUAUGGGAUUAGCUAGUUGGUGGGGUAAGGGCUCACCAAGGCGACGAUCUCUAGCUGGUCUGAGAGGAUGACCAGCCACACUGGAACUGAGACACGGUCCAGACUCCUACGGGAGGCAGCAGUGGGGAAUAUUGCACAAUGGGGGGAACCCUGAUGCAGCCAUGCCGCGUGUAUGAAGAAGGCCUUCGGGUUGUAAAGUACUUUC
RNAcentral lists this ribosomal RNA (438 nucleotides) under Gilliamella sp. Bif1-4. RNAcentral's name for it is "bacterial SSU rRNA". It matches the Rfam family "Bacterial small subunit ribosomal RNA", at positions 1 to 437 of the family's 1533-position model. Lineage: Bacteria; Pseudomonadati; Pseudomonadota; Gammaproteobacteria; Orbales; Orbaceae. The record is from RNAcentral.